RNAcentral lists this ribosomal RNA (466 nucleotides) under uncultured bacterium. RNAcentral's name for it is "partial 16S ribosomal RNA". It matches the Rfam family "Bacterial small subunit ribosomal RNA", at positions 28 to 505 of the family's 1533-position model. The record is from RNAcentral.
GACGAACGCUGGCGGCGUGCUUAACACAUGCAAGUCGAACGGAAAGGCCCUGCUUUUGUGGGGUGCUCGAGUGGCGAACGGGUGAGUAACACGUGAGUAACCUGCCCUUGACUUUGGGAUAACUUCAGGAAACUGGGGCUAAUACCGGAUAGGAGCUCCUGCUGCAUGGUGGGGGUUGGAAAGUUUCGGCGGUUGGGGAUGGACUCGCGGCUUAUCAGCUUGUUGGUGGGGUAGUGGCUUACCAAGGCUUUGACGGGUAGCCGGCCUGAGAGGGUGACCGGCCACAUGGGGAGUGAGAUACGGCCGAGACUCCUAGGAGGGGCAGCAGUGGAGAAUAGUGCACAAGGGGCGGAAGCCUGAUGCAGCAGCGCCGCGUGCGAGAUGACGGCCUUCGGUGUGUAAACCGCUUUCGCCUGAGACGAAGCGUGAGUGACGGGAAUGGGAAAAAAAGCACCGGCUAACUGCG